UACAGAGGUCUCAAGCGUUGUUCGGAUUCAUUGGGCGUAAAGGGUGCGUAGGCGGCGCGGUAAGUCGGGUGUGAAAUCUCGGAGCUUAACUCCGAAACUGCAUUCGAUACUGCCGUGCUUGAGGACUGGAGAGGAGACUGGAAUUUACGGUGUAGCGGUGAAAUGCGUAGAUAUCUGGAGGAACACCGGUGGCGAAGGCGGCAUCCUGGACCAAUACUGACGCUGAGGCGCGAAAGCGUGGGGAGCAAACAGG
Molecule: ribosomal RNA, 253 nt
Filed under: uncultured bacterium
Lineage: Bacteria
Description: partial 16S ribosomal RNA
Rfam family: Bacterial small subunit ribosomal RNA
Source: RNAcentral